Molecule: unclassified non-coding RNA, 569 nt
Filed under: Hevea brasiliensis (rubber tree)
Lineage: Eukaryota; Viridiplantae; Streptophyta; Magnoliopsida; Malpighiales; Euphorbiaceae
Source: RNAcentral
ACAGCCUCCACCACCAGCUCCAGUUAACUUAGUAGACAGUUUGUACUUUAGAGUUGUUCGAAGAACAGUUUCUAUGGAAGCAUGGCUAACACCCAUGCACUGAAGCAAUCCUUGGUUCAUCGCCAUCAACUCUGCCAGUUUUUCUUCUUUCUCAGUUAUGGCAAGAUCAUCAGGGACAGGUGAUUGAAUAAUUGCAGCCACUUCAUUACUGAUAGAAUCCACCGCAGUAAACACAGAAGCCAUUGCAGUCGGAUGCCGCAAGGUCCUCUCAGAGACGCUAGCCACCAAUGCCUUUGUAUUUCUCCCAACCUUUGUGUUAGUGAUCAGCAUUUUAAGUGGCAUGUUUGUUUUGAGGCGUGUCAAAUCACCUGACUUAAACUUGAUCAUAUUUCCAUAUGUGCUCACUGUGUUGUCAAUACCAGAUGGCUUCCCAUGAAUUAUUUUCUCGCCUUCGAAAGCCCAUUUAUUCACCAAUUCCAGCUGAUUCUCUCCAAAAACUUGCCAACCUUGGUGGCUGAAAUCCAUAGUGACUGAAUCUGACAAUGCAAGAAUGGCUGCGGAGAGUGCAA